This 452-nucleotide ribosomal RNA is filed under the name uncultured bacterium. RNAcentral describes it as "partial 16S ribosomal RNA". It matches the Rfam family "Bacterial small subunit ribosomal RNA", at positions 28 to 507 of the family's 1533-position model. The record is from RNAcentral.
GAUGAACGCUGGUGGCGUGCCUAACACAUGCAAGUCGAGCGAUUCUCUUCGGAGAAGAGCGGCGGACGGGUGAGUAACGCGUGGGUAACCUGCCCUGUACACACGGAUAACAUACCGAAAGGUAUGCUAAUACGAGAUAACAUGCUUUUAUCGCAUGGUAGAAGUAUCAAAGCCUUUGCGGUACAGGAUGGACCCGCGUCUGAUUAGCUAGUUGGUGAGGUAACGGCUCACCAAGGCGACGAUCAGUAGCCGACCUGAGAGGGUGAUCGGCCACAUUGGAACUGAGACACGGUCCAAACUCCUACGGGAGGCAGCAGUGGGGAAUAUUGCACAAUGGGCGAAAGCCUGAUGCAGCAACGCCGCGUGAGCGAUGAAGGCCUUCGGGUCGUAAAGCUCUGUCCUCAAGGAAGAUAAUGACGGUACUUGAGGAGGAAGCCCCGGCUAACUACGUG